AUGCGCUGGGCCACCAUAACAUUCUCUCUCCGCUUUCCGCCGUUUGAACCCUAUAUUUCGUUUUCCCGCCUCCACCUUUCAGUCUUGGGGCAACUAGUUUUGGGCACUAGUGACUUGAUUCAGCUUGAGUUCCCUUUGGAGUUUAGCCGUCCCACCUUCACUGCUUCGUCUCGGAGGUACGUACCACCCAACCUGUCGAUAGAACCCCCUGCAAAAGUGUCCACUCCAGGAGCCAAAGCAUGUGUGGAAUUAAACGUGCUUGCUAAUGUCCCUGAUGUCUCCAGUUCCUGCAUUAUGUCCAUACAUAUCUCUCCGGUUCUUAGAGAUACUUUUUUUGUGGUUGACACCAAUCAUAUGGACCUACAUAUAUGCCCAGUAAGAGAGUCACUAGUUAGAACUGUGGGUAUAGGAUUUUGUGAAGAUGGAGUGGUAUAUAUAAAGGGCGAGAUACAUGGAGAACAUUACUCACACAAGUGUGACAGUUUGGUGGAGUCUUCCUUCUCCACGAGAUAA
RNAcentral lists this ribosomal RNA (513 nucleotides) under Triticum aestivum (bread wheat). RNAcentral describes it as "partial small subunit ribosomal RNA". Lineage: Eukaryota; Viridiplantae; Streptophyta; Magnoliopsida; Poales; Poaceae. The record is from RNAcentral.